UAGGGAAUCUUCGGCAAUGGGGGGAACCCUGACCGAGCAACGCCGCGUGAGUGAAGAAGGUUUUCGGAUCGUAAAGCUCUGUUGUUAAGGAAGAACGAGUGUGAGAAUGGAAAGUUCAUGCUGUGACGGUACUUAACCAGAAAGCCACGGCUAACUACGUGCCAGCAGCCGCGGUAAUACGUAGGUGGCAAGCGUUGUCCGGAUUUAUUGGGCGUAAAGCGAGCGCAGGCGGUCAAUUAAGUCUGAUGUGAAAGCCCCCGGCUCAACCGGGGAGGGUCAUUGGAAACUGGUUGACUUGAGUGCAGAAGAGGAGAGUGGAAUUCCAUGUAUAACGGUGAAAUGCGUAGAUAUAUGGAGGAACACCAGUGGCGAAGGCGACUCUCUGGUCUGUAACUGACGCUGAGGCUCGAAAGCGUGGGUAGCAAACAGG
RNAcentral lists this ribosomal RNA (430 nucleotides) under Bacteroidota bacterium. RNAcentral describes it as "Bacteroidetes bacterium partial 16S ribosomal RNA". It matches the Rfam family "Bacterial small subunit ribosomal RNA", at positions 355 to 776 of the family's 1533-position model. Lineage: Bacteria; Pseudomonadati; Bacteroidota. The record is from RNAcentral.